GCACGAACUCCGCUGCCUGAACUGUGUGUCCAUAUCUGCAUGAAGCCAUAUUAGACAAUGGGCUUGUGGGAAGGAAACAACGGCUAUGCAAGAGAUGCAGAAGGUUUGCCAACUAAAAUUCUCUACGAGUUCUUCAUCUUUCCCGUGCUUUCCGUAUAACCUGAACAUCUCAUCCUUCAAUUUCCUUGGAGAAACUGAGGACUGGCUGGAAAUCCUUAUGCUUACUGGAAUCAAGGGAUCCGUGCCAAUGCAAGGGGGACGGCCGGCGAAGCUCAAGUGGUUCAUUGCAGUGUCACAGGAAGUGGAGCCACGCCGU
Long non-coding RNA from Cryptotermes secundus, 316 nucleotides. RefSeq lists it as uncharacterized. The record is from RefSeq and is a predicted model, not a curated record. The transcript has 3 exons. Lineage: Eukaryota; Metazoa; Arthropoda; Insecta; Blattodea; Kalotermitidae.